AGUGAACGCUGGCGGUAGGCCUAACACAUGCAAGUCGAACGGCAGCACAGUAAGAGCUUGCUCUUACGGGUGGCGAGUGGCGGACGGGUGAGGAAUACAUCGGAAUCUACUUUUUCGUGGGGGAUAACGUAGGGAAACUUACGCUAAUACCGCAUACGACCUACGGGUGAAAGCAGGGGAUCUUCGGACCUUGCGCGAUUGAAUGAGCCGAUGUCGGAUUAGCUAGUUGGCGGGGUAAAGGCCCACCAAGGCGACGAUCCGUAGCUGGUCUGAGAGGAUGAUCAGCCACACUGGAACUGAGACACGGUCCAGACUCCUACGAGAGGCAGCAGUGGGGAAUAUUGGACAAUGGGGGCAAGCCUGAUCCAGCCAUACCGCGUGGGUGAAGAAGGCCUUCGGGUUGUAAAGCCCUUUUGUUGGGAAAGAAAAGCAGUAGGUUAAUACCCCGCUGUUCUGACGGUACCCAAAGAAUAAGCACCGGCUAACUUCGUG
RNAcentral lists this ribosomal RNA (492 nucleotides) under uncultured bacterium. RNAcentral describes it as "partial 16S ribosomal RNA". It matches the Rfam family "Bacterial small subunit ribosomal RNA", at positions 29 to 507 of the family's 1533-position model. The record is from RNAcentral.